UAGCGGAGAAAUUCCAAUCGAACCUGGAGAUAGCUGGUUCUCUCCGAAAUAGCUUUAGGGCUAGCCUCAAGUGAUGAUUAUUGGAGGUAGAGCACUGUUUGGACGAGGGGCCCCUCUCGGGUUACCGAAUUCAGACAAACUCCGAAUGCCAAUUAAUUUAACUUGGGAGUCAGAACAUGGGUGAUAAGGUCCGUGUUCGAAAGGGAAACAGCCCAGACCACCAGCUAAGGUCCCAAAAUAUAUGUUAAGUGGAAAAGGAUGUGGCGUUGCCCAGACAACUAGGAUGUUGGCUUAGAAGCAGCCAUCAUUUAAAGAGUGCGUAAUAGCUCACUAGUCGAGUGACACUGCGCCGAAAAUGUACCGGGGCUAAACAUAUUACCGAAGCUGUGGAUUGUCCUUUGGACAAUGGUAGGAGAGCGUUCUAAGGGCGUUGAAGCAUGAUCGCAAGGACAUGUGGAGCGCUUAGAAGUGAGAAUGCCGGUGUGAGUAGCGAAAGACGGGUGAGAAUCCCGUCCACCGAUUGACUAAGGUUUCCAGAGGAAGGCUCGUCCGCUCUGGGUUAGUCGGGUCCUAAGCUGAGGCCGACAGGCGUAGGCGAUGGAUAACAGGUUGAUAUUCCUGUACCACCUAUAAUCGUUUUAAUCGAUGGGGGGACGCAGUAGGAUAGGCGAAGCGUGCGAUUGGAUUGCACGUCUAAGCAGUAAGGCUGAGUAUUAGGCAAAUCCGGUACUCGUUAAGGCUGAGCUGUGAUGGGGAGAAGACAUUGUGUCUUCGAGUCGUUGAUUUCACACUGCCGAGAAAAGCCUCUAGAUAGAAAAUAGGUGCCCGUACCGCAAACCGACACAGGUAGUCAAGAUGAGAAUUCUAAGGUGAGCGAGCGAACUCUCGUUAAGGAACUCGGCAAAAUGACCCCGUAACUUCGGGAGAAGGGGUGCUCUUUAGGGUUAACGCCCAGAAGAGCCGCAGUGAAUAGGCCCAAGCGACUGUUUAUCAAAAACACAGGUCUCUGCUAAACCGUAAGGUGAUGUAUAGGGGCUGACGCCUGCCCGGUGCUGGAAGGUUAAGAGGAGUGGUUAGCUUCUGCGAAGCUACGAAUCGAAGCCCCAGUAAACGGCGGCCGUAACUAUAACGGUCCUAAGGUAGCGAAAUUCCUUGUCGGGUAAGUUCCGACCCGCACGAAAGGCGUAACGAUUUGGGCACUGUCUCAACGAGAGACUCGGUGAAAUCAUAGUACCUGUGAAGAUGCAGGUUACCCGCGACAGGACGGAAAGACCCCGUGGAGCUUUACUGUAGCCUGAUAUUGAAAUUCGGCACAGCUUGUACAGGAUAGGUAGGAGCCUUUGAAACGUGAGCGCUAGCUUACGUGGAGGC
This 1371-nucleotide ribosomal RNA is filed under the name Staphylococcus aureus. Its description in RNAcentral is "partial 23S ribosomal RNA". It matches the Rfam family "Bacterial large subunit ribosomal RNA", at positions 816 to 2187 of the family's 2925-position model. Lineage: Bacteria; Bacillati; Bacillota; Bacilli; Caryophanales; Staphylococcaceae. The record is from RNAcentral.